AGCAGUAGCCGCGGGAAUACGUAGGUCCCGAGCGUUGCCCGGAUUUAUUGGGCGUAAAGCGAGCGCAGGCGGUUAGAUAAGUCUGAAGUUAAAGGCUGUGGCUUAACCAUAGUACGCUUUGGAAACUGUUUAACUUGAGUGCAAGAGGGGAGAGUGGAAUUCCAUGUGUAGCGGUGAAAUGCGUAGAUAUAUGGAGGAACACCGGUGGCGAAAGCGGCUCUCUGGCUUGUAACUGACGCUGAGGCUCGAAAGCGUGGGGAGCAAACAGGAUUAGAUACCCGAGUAGUCCCUGUCUCUUAUACA
Molecule: ribosomal RNA, 303 nt
Filed under: uncultured bacterium
Lineage: Bacteria
Description: partial 16S ribosomal RNA
Rfam family: Bacterial small subunit ribosomal RNA
Source: RNAcentral